This 324-nucleotide ribosomal RNA is filed under the name uncultured eukaryote. Its description in RNAcentral is "partial 18S ribosomal RNA". It matches the Rfam family "Eukaryotic small subunit ribosomal RNA", at positions 1470 to 1796 of the family's 1831-position model. The record is from RNAcentral.
CCCUUAGAUGUUCUGGGCCGCACGCGCGCUACACUGAUGCAUUCAACGAGCACCCGCUGGGCCGAGAGGUCCGGCUAAUCUUUGAACGUGCAUCGUGCUGGGGAUAGAUGAUUGCAAUUAUUCAUCUUCAACGAGAAAUUCCUAGUAAACGCAAGUCAUCAGCUUGCAUUGAUUACGUCCCUGCCCUUUGUACACACCGCCCGUCGCACCUACCGAUUGAAUGGUCCGGUGAAAUUCUCGGACGCGGACUUGCGAUGUUAAUUCGGAGCUUGACUGUGAAAGUUAAUUAAACCUUACCAUUUAGAGGAAGGUGAAGUCGUAACA